Molecule: ribosomal RNA, 395 nt
Filed under: uncultured bacterium
Lineage: Bacteria
Description: bacterial SSU rRNA
Rfam family: Bacterial small subunit ribosomal RNA
Source: RNAcentral
GUGCCAGCCGCCGCGGUAAUACGUAGGGGGCAAGCGUUAUCCGGAUUUACUGGGCGUAAAGCGGGUGUAGGCGGCCUGUCAAGUCAGAUGUGAAAUCUCCCGGCUCAACUGGGAGGGUGCAUUUGAUACUGAUGGGCUAGAGUGCAGCAGAAGAAGAUGGAAUUCCCGGUGUAGUGGUGAAAUGCGUAGAUAUCGGGAAGAACACUAGUGGCGAAGGCGGUCUUCCGGGCUGUAACUGACGCUGAGACCCGAAGGCGUGGGGAGCAAACAGGAUUAGAUACCCUGGUAGUCCACGCAGUAAACGAUGGAUACUAGGUAUGGGGAGUAUCGACCCUCUCCGUGCCGAAGCUAACGCUUUAAGUAUCCCGCCUGGGGACUACGGUCGCAAGACUAAA